GACGAACGCUGGCGGCGUGCUUAACACAUGCAAGUCGAGCGGGGAGCUUCGGCUUCUAGCGGCGAACGGGUGAGUAACACGUGGGCAACCUGCCCCGAUCUCUGGAAUAACCUCGGGAAACCGGGGCUAAUGCCGGAUAUGACAUUGCCGGGCAUCUGGUGGUGUGGAAAGAUUUAUCGGAUCGGGAUGGGCCCGCGGCCUAUCAGCUUGUUGGUGGGGUGAUGGCCUACCAAGGCGACGACGGGUAGCCGGCCUGAGAGGGCGACCGGCCACACUGGGACUGAGACACGGCCCAGACUCCUACGGGAGGCAGCAGUGGGGAAUAUUGCGCAAUGGGCGGAAGCCUGACGCAGCGACGCCGCGUGAGGGAUGACGGCC
Molecule: ribosomal RNA, 378 nt
Filed under: Frankia sp.
Lineage: Bacteria; Bacillati; Actinomycetota; Actinomycetes; Frankiales; Frankiaceae
Also listed under: 8 other names
Description: bacterial SSU rRNA
Rfam family: Bacterial small subunit ribosomal RNA
Source: RNAcentral